This 73-nucleotide transfer RNA is filed under the name Conchiformibius sp. RNAcentral describes it as "tRNA-Arg". It matches the Rfam family "tRNA". From Rfam's summary of the family: Transfer RNA (tRNA) molecules are approximately 80 nucleotides in length. Their secondary structure includes four short double-helical elements and three loops (D, anti-codon, and T loops). Further hydrogen bonds mediate the characteristic L-shaped molecular structure. tRNAs have two regions of fundamental functional importance: the anti-codon, which is responsible for specific mRNA codon recognition, and the 3' end, to which the tRNAs corresponding amino acid is attached (by aminoacyl-tRNA synthetases). tRNAs cope with the degeneracy of the genetic code in two manners: having more than one tRNA (with a specific anti-codon) for a particular amino acid; and 'wobble' base-pairing, i.e. permitting non-standard base-pairing at the 3rd anti-codon position. The record is from RNAcentral. Lineage: Bacteria; Pseudomonadati; Pseudomonadota; Betaproteobacteria; Neisseriales; Neisseriaceae.
GUUGAAUUAGCUCAAUUGGUAGAGCACAAGCUUUCUAAGCUUGAGGUCGGGGGUUCAAAUCCCUCAUUCAACU